RNAcentral lists this long non-coding RNA (869 nucleotides) under Phaseolus vulgaris (common bean). RNAcentral's name for it is "long non-coding RNA (PVUL_LNC001521)". Lineage: Eukaryota; Viridiplantae; Streptophyta; Magnoliopsida; Fabales; Fabaceae. The record is from RNAcentral.
UAUAUAUAUGGUGCAGUGGGAGUACCAUGAAGGCAACAAAAGUUGAGGAUUUGAUUUAAUAAGCACUUUCACAUUCAUAUAUGAGAUGGAACCAAUCGUAAUAUUUAUCAUUGUUGUUGUUUGCGUAUUCACCUUACUUGUAAUACUCACCACGAUGUGUCGACUGGCUACCGGAAGACGAGCAUUUGGAAGUGGUGGUGGUGGUGGUUUUGACCACCACCACAACCCCCAUCAUCUUCACAACCAAAUGAUGACGGGUGGGAUUAUUGGUGGCACUGCUCAUAGUGCAGGUGAUGCAGGAGGAGCUUUAAGUGCAGGAUGUGGAGGAGGUGGAGCAAGUGCAUGUUAAACUUGAGAGCAAUAGGGUUAUUUGAAGUUUGUGUAUAACAGAUUUGAUUCAGUGAUUUCUAUUAGGUUUAAGCUGUGAUGUUUUAUGUUUUAUUAUCAACAAAGCAAGUUCAUUGUAUUAUAAUUGUUAGUGACUGCAUUCCAUAUAUUCUUCCUAUUCAAGUUUGAAUAUAGUUUCAUUAUGAUAAUUUAUAGACAUCUUUAUAUCUUUAUACGCAUGUAACUUGAGGUAUUAUUACAUAAAACAAUACCAAUCGCUGUAAUCAAAAUAUGUUGGUUAUAAUUAUUUUAACUAAUUUAGACUCGACGAUGUAUUUAUCAUAAUAAAUUCGGUUUCAUAUUUCCAAAAAGGAAUAAAUGUACUAUUACGCGUCUAUAUGUUGAAACAUUCUCUUAUAAUGCUUACCAAACAAAUUAAUUUAUCAUAAUAUAAUACAUAAUUGAUUCAUGAUAAAACAGAAGUGAUACUUUCAUUGUAAAUAUAAUUAUUGUGGCCUUUAAAUAAAUUCGAAAGGAAAAAU